This 582-nucleotide ribosomal RNA is filed under the name Pichia manshurica. RNAcentral describes it as "eukaryotic LSU rRNA". It matches the Rfam family "Eukaryotic large subunit ribosomal RNA", at positions 48 to 656 of the family's 3401-position model. RNAcentral also lists the same sequence under 2 other names. Lineage: Eukaryota; Fungi; Ascomycota; Pichiomycetes; Pichiales; Pichiaceae. The record is from RNAcentral.
AAGCGGAGGAAAAGAAACCAACAGGGAUUGCCCCAGUAGCGGCGAGUGAAGCGGCAAGAGCUCAGAUUUGAAAUCGUGUUUCGGCACGAGUUGUAGAGUGUAGGCGGGAGUCUCUGUGGAGCGCGGUGUCCAAGUCCCUUGGAACAGGGUGCCUGAGAGGGUGAGAGCCCCGUAGGGUGCUGCGCGAAGCUUUUGAGGCCCUGCUGACGAGUCGAGUUGUUUGGGAAUGCAGCUCCAAGCGGGUGGUAAAUUCCAUCUAAGGCUAAAUAUUGGCGAGAGACCGAUAGCGAACAAGUACUGUGAAGGAAAGAUGAAAAGCACUUUGAAAAGAGAGUGAAACAGCACGUGAAAUUGUUGAAAGGGAAGGGUAUUGGGCUCGACAUGGGGGGUGCGCACCGCUGUCUCUUGUAGGCGGCGCUCUGGGCGCCCUCUGGGCCAGCAUCGGUUCCUGCUGCGGGAGAAGGGGCUCCGGAAAGUGGCUCUUCGGAGUGUUAUAGCCGGGGCCAGAUGCCGCGUGUGGGGACCGAGGACUGCGGCUUCUGUCUCGGAUGCUGGCAUAACGGCGCAAUACCGCCCGUCUUG